Molecule: ribosomal RNA, 253 nt
Filed under: uncultured bacterium
Lineage: Bacteria
Description: partial 16S ribosomal RNA
Rfam family: Bacterial small subunit ribosomal RNA
Source: RNAcentral
UACGAAGGGGGCUAGCGUUGCUCGGAAUCACUGGGCGUAAAGCGCACGUAGGCGGAUCUUUAAGUCAGGGGUGAAAUCCCGAGGCUCAACCUCGGAACUGCCCUUGAUACUGGGGAUCUCGAGUCCGGAAGAGGUUGGUGGAACUCCGAGUGUAGAGGUGAAAUUCGUAGAUAUUCGGAAGAACACCAGUGGCGAGGGCGGCCAACUGGUCCGGCACUGACGCUGAGGUGCGAAAGCGUGGGGAGCAAACAGG